This 782-nucleotide long non-coding RNA is filed under the name Homo sapiens (human). Its description in RNAcentral is "HSALNT0370847". The record is from RNAcentral. Lineage: Eukaryota; Metazoa; Chordata; Mammalia; Primates; Hominidae.
CAGAGACAGGCAGGAUUUCAAAGUGGCACAGGAGACGUUUGGGAGUUUUGCAUAUGCACCAGCAAGGCUCUUGGAUCAAGCCCUACAGCAGAAAGCAAGCAGUAUGUGGUGCCGUGGAAGCAAGAUGCUAAGAAAAUACACCUGCGAACAGUGAUGUAUCAAUGGCUGGAGCGAGACAGGAGAGGAGGAACAGGAGGAGGAGAGUGAGAGAAACUGAUUGCCAACCUUAGUCCAGUGAAAACUUUGCUCCGAUAAUAUUUCCUUGGCCUGACCAAUCCAGAUCAACAAUCCUCUUCUUUGGUGAUUGAAUAAGGGAAGAAGCUCUGCUGGGUGACCUUGAACACAUCACUUCACUUCCUUGAGCUUCAAUAUACCUGCCAUCAAAUGGGAACAAUCAUGUUUACCUCCCUGAAUAGUCAAGAGGAUUAAAUUAAAUAGUGAGGAAAUGUUUGUGCAUUCCAAAUCACCGGCUGAUACAAACACUCAAAGACAAGGGAGAAGGAAACAUAAACAAGGAAACAGAAACAUCCUGUCAACCUGCCCAAAGUGUGCUAAUUACAUUUAAGUCAGCACUGGGUACCAGAUAUAUAUUGGGCUCAUAUUCAUUCCUUAUUCUGCUGUAAAUGUUACCCAGCUCAUCAGCACAGCCCAAGAAUGAACAGACUGGAAGUCCCAUGUUAGCAGGAACUGAGCCUUUCUUGUUCACUGCUGCAUCCCUAAAUACAUAGUUGAGAAUCGGUGAAUAUAACCUGGGUUCAGUCCUCACUCUGGCACGAACUUGG